GCUGCUGUAGCUCAGUUGGUAGAGCACGUCCUUGGUAAGGACGGGGUCAUCGGUUCGAUCCCGAUCAGCAGCUCCA
This 76-nucleotide transfer RNA is filed under the name Omnitrophica WOR_2 bacterium RIFCSPHIGHO2_01_FULL_49_10. RNAcentral describes it as "tRNA-Thr". It matches the Rfam family "tRNA". From Rfam's summary of the family: Transfer RNA (tRNA) molecules are approximately 80 nucleotides in length. Their secondary structure includes four short double-helical elements and three loops (D, anti-codon, and T loops). RNAcentral also lists the same sequence under 1 other name. Lineage: Bacteria; Pseudomonadati; Candidatus Omnitrophota. The record is from RNAcentral.